GAUGAACGCUAGCUACAGGCUUAACACAUGCAAGUCGAGGGGAAACGACAUCGAAAGCUUGCUUUUGAUGGGCGUCGACCGGCGCACGGGUGAGUAACGCGUAUCCAACCUGCCCAUCACUUGGGGAUAACCUUGCGAAAGUAAGACUAAUACCCAAUGAUAUCUCUAGAAGACAUCAGAAGGAGAUUAAAGAUUGAUCGGUGAUGGAUGGGGAUGCGUCGGAUUAGCUUGUUGGCGGGGUAACGGCCCACCAAGGCGACGAUCAGUAGGGGUUCUGAGAGGAAGGUCCCCCACAUUGGAACUGAGACACGGUCCAAACUCCUACGGGAGGCAGCAGUGAGGAAUAUUGGUCAAUGGGCGAGAGUCUGAACCAGCCAAGUAGCGUGCAGGAUGACGGCCCUAUGGGUUGUAAACUGCUUUUAUAAGGGAAUAAAGUGAGAGUCGUGACUCUUUUUGCAUGUACCUUAUGAAUAAGGACCGGCCAAUUCCGUGCCAGCCGCCGCGGUAA
Molecule: ribosomal RNA, 508 nt
Filed under: uncultured bacterium
Lineage: Bacteria
Description: partial 16S ribosomal RNA
Rfam family: Bacterial small subunit ribosomal RNA
Source: RNAcentral